This is a long non-coding RNA of Cyprinus carpio carpio, 1009 nucleotides long. The record is from Ensembl. NCBI's taxonomy places the organism in Eukaryota, Metazoa, Chordata, Actinopteri, Cypriniformes, Cyprinidae.
AAAAGAUGGUGAACAGUAUAAAUGGAGACGUGUGUGCGCAGUAGUCUGCAGCCGGUGCGGUCAGUGAGGUUGAGCUGCCCUGAGUUUCCUACCCUGCUCUGAGAAAGUCAGUGUGUAUGUGUAUGUGUGUGUGUGUGAGAGAGAGAAAAUCUAUCCUUGCAUAUUUGCGUGUGUAUUUCUAUCUGCGAGUGUAGAGGGAGUGAACACGUGUCAGUAUUCAUUUACAUUCUUACAGAAGCGAAUCCUUGAUGUGUAAUAUAGCAACAUGAAAUGGACCGUGUUUGUAGCCAGUGUCUGUGUGCACGCGCAUGGGAAAUUGAGACUGUGUGUAGGUUUGGGGUUAGACACGGGACGAGUGAAACACCCAGGCUCUCCUCUGGGACCGAUUCACUUUCUCCUGCUGCCAGGCGGAUUAUGUCAUCACUGCCCACCGUAUUAGAAGAGCCCUGUGAUGUCAUACCAAGAGGUUAUCCACCGUUGACGCUCCCGUUUUGUCUCUCUCGUUGGAUGUCUAAACAUCACCCGUUCAGAUGUCUCUUUUACCUCUCCCUACAUCUCUCAUCUAGCUUCCCUCACUCCACCCUAACCUUUGCUCUGCAUUUCUCUCCCCACCUUUCCUUGCCCCUCCCUCCGUUUUAUAUUUGCUCUCUUUCAGGUCUGCCUUCCAUGGGAGUCUCCACUCUGGUCUCAGGUUUAAGGGUCUCGUCCAAAACGCACACCACACCCCGACUCGCCGCUCAAGCCCUUUGGCCAUCCCGCCUCAUCUGUUCUCCGCGCUCCUCUCAUACCCUCGUCUCUCCUCCGUUCUGGGCCUGGGCAGCGGCGGAGGGGUCAGCGGUGCUGCGGGUUGGGGCUGUGUUCCGACAGACCUGCUUUUUCUGUCGUGCUUUUGUUCCGUUCUGCGUCAUCGUGUUGACUGAGUGGACCCCACACUUACCAGGCAGUUGCGCGCCCAGCCUCGGCCUAACACUGAGCCAUGUUAGCGGCUGUAAUCUGAUGGCGGUGUUUA